This 1127-nucleotide ribosomal RNA is filed under the name Lacticaseibacillus rhamnosus. Its description in RNAcentral is "bacterial SSU rRNA". It matches the Rfam family "Bacterial small subunit ribosomal RNA", at positions 26 to 1106 of the family's 1533-position model. Lineage: Bacteria; Bacillati; Bacillota; Bacilli; Lactobacillales; Lactobacillaceae. The record is from RNAcentral.
GGGGGGACUGGCGGCGUGCUAUACAUGCAAGUCGAACGAGUUCUGAUUAUUGAAAGGUGCUUGCAUCUUGAUUUAAUUUUGAACGAGUGGCGGACGGGUGAGUAACACGUGGGUAACCUGCCCUUAAGUGGGGGAUAACAUUUGGAAACAGAUGCUAAUACCGCAUAAAUCCAAGAACCGCAUGGUUCUUGGCUGAAAGAUGGCGUAAGCUAUCGCUUUUGGAUGGACCCGCGGCGUAUUAGCUAGUUGGUGAGGUAACGGCUCACCAAGGCAAUGAUACGUAGCCGAACUGAGAGGUUGAUCGGCCACAUUGGGACUGAGACACGGCCCAAACUCCUACGGGAGGCAGCAGUAGGGAAUCUUCCACAAUGGACGCAAGUCUGAUGGAGCAACGCCGCGUGAGUGAAGAAGGCUUUCGGGUCGUAAAACUCUGUUGUUGGAGAAGAAUGGUCGGCAGAGUAACUGUUGUCGGCGUGACGGUAUCCAACCAGAAAGCCACGGCUAACUACGUGCCAGCAGCCGCGGUAAUACGUAGGUGGCAAGCGUUAUCCGGAUUUAUUGGGCGUAAAGCGAGCGCAGGCGGUUUUUUAAGUCUGAUGUGAAAGCCCUCGGCUUAACCGAGGAAGUGCAUCGGAAACUGGGAAACUUGAGUGCAGAAGAGGACAGUGGAACUCCAUGUGUAGCGGUGAAAUGCGUAGAUAUAUGGAAGAACACCAGUGGCGAAGGCGGCUGUCUGGUCUGUAACUGACGCUGAGGCUCGAAAGCAUGGGUAGCGAACAGGAUUAUAUACUCCUGGUAGUUCAUGCCGUAAACGAUGAAUGCUAUGUGUUGGUAGGGGUUCCGCCCUUCAGUGCUGCAGCUAACGCAUUUAAGCAUUACGCCUGGGGGAGUACGACCGCAACGUAAGAAACUCAACUGGAGUUGACUGUGAGCCCGGCACAAGCGAGGGAGCAUGUGGCUUGCAUUUCGAAUUCACACGCGAGAGCGAUACUAGACUAGACAUUCGUAUUGAUCUCCGUGAGAACAUCAGGAUCCGCAUCCGGGCCAGAUGACAAGAUUGUUGCAUGCAUGCAGGGAUUCGGUCGCUGAGAGCUCUGGGCUUACGUGCCGGAGCGACCGCCACCUCA